UAUAGUGACAUUGCAAAGGGGUACAGAUAGUGAGAGGUUAACUGGGACCAUUUCGCCGACCCUCGCUCAUAGCAAUAAUGAUAAUGGUGUUCGGAGGGCCGGAGGAGUAAAAGGAAGAAGGGGUGUGCUGAGCACUAAACAAGAUUGGGGAGCUCACUUGAGGAAGCUGCUGGUGGGAGCCCAGCAGUGCUGGGACCUCUGCGGGAGGUUUGUCAGGCUGCUCCACUGCCGCAAAGCUAACCGGGACCCACCUCUGCUCCCGGGAGCCAGGACGACUUCCUCCUUCUGCCGGCCAGGGACUCAUACUGGCGGAACCUAAGCCAAAGUCCCCGGUUUUGGAACUUGUCUUCAGAAGAUUUUCAUCCAAGGAGCUGAAACCUUCCUUAUCGUCAAAGCUUGCCUGGGUGAGGGAUGCAUUGUUGAAGACGGAAGGGGCAGGCCCUGGCCGGACUGUAAGUCCCUUGGGGGCAGGAGCUGGGCCUGUUGGUGUUCCUUCUUUUCUGCUUGCUGCCUACCACAUGCUGUGAACAGCGGGCGCUGCUUGAGAUCUGCUGAGCAGGGAGAAGCCAAGCCCCUCACCUCGGAGUCCUGGCCGCUCUUGUACAGCUCGGGCAACGCCAGGAGAGUCUCUGCCGAGAUGUCCUUAUCGAGGACCCCGAAGACGAGAGGAGGCAGCGAGGUGAAGAAGAGGUUGAAGAAUAUCAUCUGCCAGUAAUCGAUCAUGGUGGAGCCCGAGAAGCCGCAGAAGAACUGGUACCAGAAGAGCAGGUUCACGUAGCACUGCAGGCAGACAGCGCGGCCUCGUGAGCGAGGAUGCUGCGCGGGGCCCCUGGCAAGUCACCGCGCGGAUGGGGGCGCCAGGCUCCUCGUCCGUGACGUGCAGAGUCAGUUCCUGAGUUCUGAGGUGGAACGACCCCGACUCCUUCCCAGGAGAGCGGACAGAGGGACACCAGAAAAGGCCUCCGAGCUGUCCUCAAGACCUGAAGCAAUGACUCAUCGUCCUUAUGUCCCCUCGACAGUCAGCGCCCAGCCCAGCCCAGCCCAGCCCAGCCCCUAAACCGCCGGUGUCUUGUGAGUUUGCCCUGUAUAAUCUGUAACCUACACACCUUUAACAUUAGCUCCCUGUCUCCGGAUUGGCCAAUUCAAUAUUAAACUUUCUAU
This is a long non-coding RNA of Molossus molossus (Pallas's mastiff bat), 1161 nucleotides long. RefSeq lists it as uncharacterized. NCBI's taxonomy places the organism in Eukaryota, Metazoa, Chordata, Mammalia, Chiroptera, Molossidae. The transcript has 5 exons. The record is from RefSeq and is a predicted model, not a curated record.